Long non-coding RNA from Alligator mississippiensis (American alligator), 693 nucleotides. RefSeq lists it as uncharacterized. The record is from RefSeq and is a predicted model, not a curated record. NCBI's taxonomy places the organism in Eukaryota, Metazoa, Chordata, Crocodylia, Alligatoridae. The transcript is spliced from 3 exons.
GGGUCCCUGGUGAGCUCCUGGAGACUCUUAAUCCUACCAGAAGUAGAACAGGCAGGCAAGCAUCUCCACUUUGAUUCCUCUAAGAGAGCUCCUUUCCCCUUGGCUGCUGACAGAGAACUGACUCUCUAGCCCCAGCCCUGGGGUUUAUAUAUGCCCAAAUGUGGCAGGGCACUAUAGGUGCCUGCCACUUUAAGGGCCUGAGCCAAGCUGCCAGCAGGUCCCUGAUUGUGGCAGCCAUUUUAGACCCCUGGCUGCCUUCAUAAUCUGGUCAGUUUCCUACUGGCAGAAGAAGCAGCAACAUCACCUGGCUGCAAGGCCACUGGUAUCAUCCUGGAGAGGGAACCUGAGACUCAGAAGGGUGAAGGAGCUUACUGAAGGUCACCGAGAAGACCAGUGACAUAGCCAAGAAUAGCACCCAAGUCUCCUAAGUACCAUUCCACUACCCCAACUAAUGAGUCAUAUCAUCACCUCCUAGACUGCUCCAUGAUGUUUCUGAAAGAACUACCCAUGUGGAUCAGAUCCAGAACACACAGAACAUAAUGGGAAUAUUGUCAUUGACUGCAAUAAGCUUUGGAAGAAACCUCUACACAGAACCAUGUAUUAUCACCAGAAUACAUUCAGAGUCCGAGAAAAAAAAUAAAACAAUGAAUAAAUAAAAACACUGUUAUGCUUAAUUUAUUGUUUUUGCCUCUA